CCUACGGGCGGCAGCAGUGAGGAAUAUUGGUCAAUGGACGAGAGUCUGAACCAGUCAAGUAGCGUGAAGGAUGACUGCCCUAUGGGUUGUAAACUUCUUUUAUAUGGGAAUAAAAUGUUCCACGUGUGGGAUUUUGUAUGUACCAUAUGAAUAAGGAUCGGCUAACUCCGUGCCAGCAGCCGCGGUAAUACGGAGGAUCCGAGCGUUAUCCGGAUUUAUUGGGUUUAAAGGGAGCGUAGGUGGAUUGUUAAGUCAGUUGUGAAAGUUUGCGGCUCAACCGUAAAAUUGCAGUUGAAACUGGCAGUCUUGAGUACAGUAGAGGUGGGCGGAAUUCGUGGUGUAGCGGUGAAAUGCUUAGAUAUCACGAAGAACUCCGAUUGCGAAGGCAGUUCACUGGACUGCAACUGACACUGAGGCUCGAAAGUGUGGGUAUCAAACAGGAUUAGAUACCCGUGUAGUC
RNAcentral lists this ribosomal RNA (460 nucleotides) under uncultured bacterium. RNAcentral describes it as "partial 16S ribosomal RNA". It matches the Rfam family "Bacterial small subunit ribosomal RNA", at positions 338 to 795 of the family's 1533-position model. The record is from RNAcentral.